Molecule: ribosomal RNA, 253 nt
Filed under: uncultured bacterium
Lineage: Bacteria
Description: partial 16S ribosomal RNA
Rfam family: Bacterial small subunit ribosomal RNA
Source: RNAcentral
UACGUAGGGUGCGAGCGUUGCCCGGAUUUAUUGGGCGUAAAGGGCGCGUAGGCGGCUCGGCACGUCCGUUGUGAAAUCGCCCGGCUCAACUGGGCGGGGUCAGCGGAUACGGUCGAGCUUGAGCAAGCUAGGGGGCAAUGGAAUUCCCGGUGUAGUGGUGGAAUGCGUAGAUAUUGGGAGGAACACCAGUGGCGAAAGCGACUUUCUGGGACGUUCCUGACGCUGAGGUUCGAAAGCUCGGGGAGCAAACAGG